CACACAUGCAUUUCCAUUUCAUUCACCUGCAAAACAGACAUAAGUGUUUCACCUCGGAGGAGCUGCACACCUGGAAUCACUGCCUUUGAGCUUGGAGAAAAUCGGAUAGCGGCAGUCAUGAAAAGCCAGGUGGCAGAGAAGGACGGACAUGCAAUUGCUGAAAAACCCCAAAUCCAGAAACACUGGGUGAAGAGAUGCAGAGGGUCCAAG
RNAcentral lists this long non-coding RNA (210 nucleotides) under Homo sapiens (human). RNAcentral describes it as "non-protein coding lnc-AKAP17A-1:1". Lineage: Eukaryota; Metazoa; Chordata; Mammalia; Primates; Hominidae. The record is from RNAcentral.